Megalobrama amblycephala (Wuchang bream) is the source of this 2042-nucleotide long non-coding RNA. RefSeq lists it as uncharacterized. Lineage: Eukaryota; Metazoa; Chordata; Actinopteri; Cypriniformes; Xenocyprididae. The record is from RefSeq and is a predicted model, not a curated record. The transcript has 4 exons.
UUCCUGCCAGAUGAAAGGACACUUUAAAAACACACUUUAUUGGCAAAUAUAUUCCCCCUCCUCCCUGCCAUUGGAAAUCUGCUUCAAACAGCCUGUGCGCUUGUGGAGAGAGAAUGAAAACAGGACAGUAUUUGCUCUCUGGACUUUUUUUCUGCCAGGAUCAAGAAAAAGAGAAAAAGCUACAUCUGUGGCCACCCAAACACGGAAGUAACCAGGACACACCUGGAGUCAUAAACCGUGGCAAAGGGCCAAACCUUUGGAUCAUAUGCGGAUAGAGAGGCAAUACCUGAAGCACAAUUCCUGGUGACCCAUGAGUGGGUGAAAGAAACCAAGAGGGAAAGAGGGUCUGAAGAGUUUGUUCACCCGGGUGAAGGCUAGAAGAUCAAGUUCCUGAAGGAAUGUUGCCAUAGCAGUGUUAGAAUGGAUUGCUUUUGUUGGGUGGAGCUCAGAUGUGGUCAUUACGGAAAGAUCCUUCAUCUUACCUGCCGGGGGGUUUGUGCUCCGUCCCGGGACUUGACCAAUCAUUAAUAAAGAUGGUAUGUGACUGUGUUAUCAGUUGGCUUUGGGCCAGGCCUGUGAGUGGGGACUGAAAGACUGUUAUCUGUCCACAGUGGACGACACAAGCACCUCUUAACCUCUCCAACUUUCACAAUAAAUGCUCAAGAGAACACUUACCUGAACCAGGGGUCGCUCAAUAAAAUUUAGUUUACAAACCCUUAUUUACAUGCUUUGCACAUUGCACUUCAGAAAAUAUAUCAAAAACGUGUCAUUUGCAUUAGUUCCAGCUCUGCCUGUGGUGUAUGUGGUGAGUCACAUUUAAAUGGACCAAACAAUCAAUAGAUUAUCAUGAAGAACAUUCAGAAAAGAACAGCCUCUGUUUUUCUGUGCAGAGAUCUGGAAACAGACACUUUAAAGCAUUAGUUCACCCAAAAAUGAACAUUCCUGUCAUCGUUUACUCACCCUCAUGUCGUUCCAAACCUGUAUGACUUUCUUUCUUCUUUGGGAAUACAGAGUAGGAGGAAUGUUUCAAAUGUUUUUGUCCAUACAGUGAAAGUCAAUGGAGUCUAAUAUUGUAAAUAUUUGUGACUUUCAUAUAACUCCUAACUUUAGGUGCUUGAAAGCACUUUGGUGCCGCAGCGCUUUUUUUCUUCUUCAGUUGAGACACUUUGGUUGUUAUGACACAGAAUAUCUACGGAAGUGUUACUAGUAUCUGAUUUUGCAGAUAGUUUGUUUCUGAAUAUAAAAAUGUUGACAAGUUUACUGCAACAAUAGAGCCACGAACUUCACAUACUUCUGAAAAUUCAACAUUUAGUUGAUCCUGGAGAGCGCUCAUUGUCACAGUUGUAAACACGGCGGCGCUGGAAAAAGUAGCUUUUUUGGAAGAAUUCAACCAGCCAGAUGACGACUUCAAAAAUCCUGAAGUGUUUCCAGUUAAGUGUGCCAUAUGCAUCAGAUGUUCAGCCAACGGUUCGUGGGCGUGACGUCUGAGGCUGAGACUAGGUAAAAAGUGACAGUGAUAAUCAACUCUAGACGAGCAGAAAAAAUGGCAAACACACAGAGCUCAGCGUGAAAUAGACGCUCGCUGCUGCCAUUUUUAAAUAUUCAGUGCUCUCAUUGAAAACAAUUGAAAAACUAUGCAGGCUGUAGAGUAAAAAACACUUUGGUCUAAAUGAGUUUUCAUUUUUUGGGUGAACAACCCCUUCAAGUGCAAUAAAAAUGAUCUUGUUUGAUCUGACUCUUCCCUGGUUAACAAAGCAGGUUACAAUAGGCCUAGUCACAUAUAUGAGUAAAAACGAAGGCAAGUAAAAAAAAAUUCAGUUCCUCAAUGGCAUCAGCAAUUCGAUGGAAUUCAGAUCCUUUAUCCCGCUGUAAGUCAUAACCGUGCACUGAUCCUCAGCCAAACUCUCUGUAUUAGUUCAGCCUAGAAGUAAAAAUUGAAUUUAUCUUGGCAUAGUUAAAUAACAAGAGUUCAGUACAUGGAAAUGACAUACAGUGAGUCUCAAACUCCAUUGUUUCCUCCUUCUUAUAUAAAUCUCAUUUGU